GCGCUCGUAGCUCAGUUGGAUAGAGCGGUGGUUUCCGGUACCACGUCCGUCGGGGGUUCGAGUCCCUCCGAGCGCGUCA
Molecule: transfer RNA, 79 nt
Filed under: Aeribacillus pallidus
Lineage: Bacteria; Bacillati; Bacillota; Bacilli; Caryophanales; Bacillaceae
Description: tRNA-Arg
Rfam family: tRNA
About the family: Transfer RNA (tRNA) molecules are approximately 80 nucleotides in length. Their secondary structure includes four short double-helical elements and three loops (D, anti-codon, and T loops).
Source: RNAcentral